RNAcentral lists this ribosomal RNA (355 nucleotides) under uncultured bacterium. Its description in RNAcentral is "bacterial SSU rRNA". It matches the Rfam family "Bacterial small subunit ribosomal RNA", at positions 8 to 350 of the family's 1533-position model. The record is from RNAcentral.
AGAGUUUGAUCAUGGCUCAGGAUGAACGCUAGCUACAGGCUUAACACAUGCAAGUCGAGGGGAAACGACAUCGAAAGCUUGCUUUUGAUGGGCGUCGACCGGCGCACGGGUGAGUAACGCGUAUCCAACCUGCCCACCACUUGGGAGUAACCUUGCGAAAGCAAGACUAAUACCCAAUGACGUCUCUAGAAGACAUCUGAAAGUAGAUUAAAGAUUUAUACGGUGAUGGAUGGGGAUGCGUCUGAUUAGCUUGUUGGCGGGGUAACGGCCCACCAAGGCGACGAUCAGUAGGGGUUCUGAGAGGAAGGUCCCCCACAUUGGAACUGAGACACGGUCCAAACUCCUACGGGAGGCA